UAUAAAUGUUUAUUCCAAUUAGAUUAGUAUAGAAUAAGUAAAACGACAAUUACACAAGCCUUAGCUGAAUUCUAAACGACCCUAACUAAACCCUAGACAAAUCCUAGUCAAACCCUAUUCGAAUCCUAAUCAAAUUCUAAAUAAGUCCUAACCAAAUCCUAGACAAAUCCUAAAUAAAUCCUAAUCAAAUCCUAAACAAACCAUAAUCAAAUCUUAAACAAUCCUAGUUAAACCUUAGACAAAUCUUAAAUUAGUCCUAACAAAAUCUUAGACAAAUCUUAGACAAAUCUUAA
RNAcentral lists this long non-coding RNA (293 nucleotides) under Physcomitrium patens. RNAcentral describes it as "long non-coding RNA (PPAT_LNC009288)". The record is from RNAcentral. Lineage: Eukaryota; Viridiplantae; Streptophyta; Bryopsida; Funariales; Funariaceae.